This 475-nucleotide unclassified non-coding RNA is filed under the name Hevea brasiliensis (rubber tree). The record is from RNAcentral. Lineage: Eukaryota; Viridiplantae; Streptophyta; Magnoliopsida; Malpighiales; Euphorbiaceae.
GAUCCCUGUGCCUGCAGCAGGAAAGAUGAGAAGUCCGACGUGUUGAGCGGAUGCUUGACGGUGCCGAGCACCUUGCCGCCCAUCUUGGUGACGACAGCGGAGGGGUCCUUCUCGAGAUCCUGUCCNNNNNNNNNNNNAACCAGGUAUCGAGUCCGGUCUUCACAGCCGCGAGGCCGGUGGAAUUCGCCUGCCCGAAGGUGUCGAAGACAUAAUGCACGGUGUAGGGGCCGCAGGCCUCGUUGGUCAGACGGACCGAUCCCGGGCCGUUGAACAUGAUGAUCUUGCCCCGCGCCUUGGCGAUCUCGUUGGCCGCCAGCGNNNNNNCAUCGACGAUCGCCUCGACGCCCUGAUUGUCGAACAUGUCGCGGGCAAUGCUCGAUGACAGAUCGGCCUUGUUGAGAUGAUCCGCUGCGAUGAUCUCGAUCUUGCGGCCCAGCACCUCGCCGCCGAAAUCCUCCGCGGCCAUUUUCGCCGC